This 713-nucleotide long non-coding RNA is filed under the name Monodelphis domestica (gray short-tailed opossum). RNAcentral describes it as "lncRNA (ENSMODG00000043081.1)". The record is from RNAcentral. Lineage: Eukaryota; Metazoa; Chordata; Mammalia; Didelphimorphia; Didelphidae.
CAUAGAUUGAAAAAUGUCAGAAAAUUAUACUAAAAUUGUAUCUAUAUGUAAUCUGGAAAAAAGACAAAAUUAAAAAAAAGGUCCAAAAGUUGAAUAGUAAAGGCCAUCCUGUCCUGCAUCCCCUGGGGUUCUUUGGCCAAGGAUUUCUACAUUCCUGGAGUGCUUCAGUUUUCUCAUCUGUAAAGUGAGCUGGAGACAGAAAUGGCGAACCACAUCAAUAUCUUUACCAAGAAACUCCCAAUGUAGUCAUGUAGCAUAAGACAUGACUAAAAUGGCUGAAUAACAAUUGUGUCCCAGGCAUUGGACUAAGAACUGAGGAGAUGAAAGAAAGGCAAAAAGUAGUCCCUGUCUUUGAAGAGCUUCUAGUCUAAUGGGAGAGACAAUCUGCAAAUAACGUUGUGCAAAUAAGACAAAGAGAGAUGGAAUUGGAGACAAUCUCAUUGGAAAAAAUGUUUCUUGCAAGAAGGUGAGACUUUAAUUUCCAUUAUCAGCAUUCUCAUUGAAGAGAUCAUAUGAUAAUGAAUCUGAAGAUGUAAGAGAUUCCAGAAGUGAUCUAGUCCAAUUCCUUUAUUUUGCAGAGGUGGGAAACUAAGGUCCAUAUAAAAAUAAUUGUUCUUACAAAGUCAUACAGAACCCAGCUCAAGUCUCUUUAACUCCAAAUCUAGAGCUUUUCCUAUUAUAUCUAUUACCUUGCCCAUCUAUCACACACUCAG